RNAcentral lists this ribosomal RNA (497 nucleotides) under uncultured bacterium. RNAcentral describes it as "partial 16S ribosomal RNA". It matches the Rfam family "Bacterial small subunit ribosomal RNA", at positions 28 to 507 of the family's 1533-position model. The record is from RNAcentral.
GAUGAACGCUGGCGGCGUGCCUAAUACAUGCAAGUCGAGCGAACAGAUAAGGAGCUUGCUCCUUUGACGUUAGCGGCGGACGGGUGAGUAACACGUGGGUAACCUACCUAUAAGACUGGGAUAACUUCGGGAAACCGGAGCUAAUACCGGAUAACAUUUGGAACCGCAUGGUUCUAAAGUGAAAGAUGGUUUUGCUAUCACUUAUAGAUGGACCCGCGCCGGAUUAGCUAGUUGGUAAGGUAACGGCUUACCAAGGCGACGAUACGUAGCCGACCUGAGAGGGUGAUCGGCCACACUGGAACUGAGACACGGUCCAGACUCCUACGGGAGGCAGCAGUAGGGAAUCUUCCGCAAUGGGCGAAGGCCUGACGGAGCAACGCCGCGUGAGUGAUGAAGGGUUUCGGCUCGUAAAACUCUGUUAUUAGGGAAGAACAAACGUGUAAGUAACUGUGCACGUCUUGACGGUACCUAAUCAGAAAGCCACGGCUAACUACGUG